Molecule: ribosomal RNA, 497 nt
Filed under: uncultured bacterium
Lineage: Bacteria
Description: partial 16S ribosomal RNA
Rfam family: Bacterial small subunit ribosomal RNA
Source: RNAcentral
GAUGAACGCUGGCGGCGUGCCUAAUACAUGCAAGUCGAGCGAACGGACGAGAAGCUUGCUUCUCUGAUGUUAGCGGCGGACGGGUGAGUAACACGUGGAUAACCUACCUAUAAGACUGGGAUAACUUCGGGAAACCGGAGCUAAUACCGGAUAAUAUUUUGAACCGCAUGGUUCAAAAGUAAAAGACGGUCUUGCUGUCACUUAUAGAUGGAUCCGCGCUGCAUUAGCUAGUUGGUAAGGUAACGGCUUACCAAGGCAACGAUGCAUAGCCGACCUGAGAGGGUGAUCGGCCACACUGGAACUGAGACACGGUCCAGAAUCCUACGGGAGGCAGCAGUAGGGAAUCUUACGCAAUGGGCGAAAGCCUGACGGAGCAACGCCGCGUGAGUGAUGAAGGUCUUCGGAUCGUAAAACUCUGUUAUUAGGGAAGAACAUAUGUGUAAGUAACUGUGCACAUCUUGACGGUACCUAAUCAGAAAGCCACGGCUAACUACGUG